UACGGAGGGUGCGAGCGUUGUCCGGAAUUACUGGGUGUAAAGCGCGUGUAGGCGGCAGACCAAGUCGGCGGUGAAAGCGCCCGGCUCAACUGGGCGAGGUCCGUGGAAACUGGUCAGCUGGAGGACGGUAGAGGCGAGUGGAAUUCCCGGUGUAGUGGUGAAAUGCGUAGAGAUCGGGAGGAACACCUGUGGCGAAGGCGGCUCGCUGGGCCGGUCCUGACGCUGAGACGCGAAGGCGUGGGGAGCGAACGGG
RNAcentral lists this ribosomal RNA (253 nucleotides) under uncultured bacterium. Its description in RNAcentral is "partial 16S ribosomal RNA". It matches the Rfam family "Bacterial small subunit ribosomal RNA", at positions 524 to 776 of the family's 1533-position model. The record is from RNAcentral.